GGUCAUAGCUCAGUGGUGGAGCAUCCACUUUCAAUGCAGAAAGUCCAUGUUUCAAUCCCUGGCAUCUCCA
Non-coding RNA from Podarcis lilfordi (Lilford's wall lizard), 70 nucleotides. NCBI's taxonomy places the organism in Eukaryota, Metazoa, Chordata, Lepidosauria, Squamata, Lacertidae. The record is from the annotation of a GenBank genome assembly.